CUGAAACCUGGAAGCUGGGUUGUUGGUCCCACAGACCAGAGUGGAAACUUGUGGUGUUUUCUCCAAGCCUGCUUAUGCCUGCCCUGGACCUAUCAGCGCACACCUCCUCCCCUCUGAGGCCCAUAUAAGCUCCAGAUUCAGUCAGACUUGAGGAGAUGACAGGAUGACAGGCUGCAGAGAAGACCUACCCACCAAAGGCUCUCCUCUCUACUGAGAGCUGAGGAGAUGACGGGACAGCAAGCUGCAGAAAGUAGCUACCCACCCCGGGGUCUCCCCUCUGCUGAGAGCUGAAGAGACAACAGGAGAGCAAGGACUCACAGGGAACUGGCACCUCUGUCUGUGCCUGGAGCUGCCUGUCCCAUUGCAGCCAUCAUGCCUGGCUGUAAGCAGUGGCCAGAACUCAUGUUUGCUUGCUCACACACCCCUCACCACUCUGCUUGCCCUUGGAAAGCAUGGGAUCCAGGCUGGGAGAGUGAGGCCAGUGCAGGCUGCCAAGCCGAGUAGGCAAAAUGAGCCCAGAGGGCCUGAGCAAAACGGGGGCAAAGGUGCCACUGCCCACAGUGGUUUCUAGCUGGAAAAACAACACUCCAAGGAUUCCGUAACAUUUCACAGGGCUCGUCCAGGAUCUGCAAAGAAUCAAUCCAACUGUCUAUCCUCUCAGGAAAAAUUUUCAGAUCAAUCCAACUGUCUAUCCUCUCAGGAAAAUUAGAGGUGAUUGUGAACCACAAUAACAGGAAGUGUGAAUGCUGAUUUCUCCACAAUUUUUCCAGCUUUGUUGAGGUAUCCACAACCUGCUGAUUUGCCAGUUUUCUCUUUGGAAUAGCUGUCUUGUGAAGCUUGGCUUUUCUAAAGAGAAAAAGAGAAAUUACUAUUGAGGACAUCUCGCUAUAGAGAACAUUAACCACCUGUGUGAGGUGUUCUGCAUCUGAGCUAAGCGAUGGUGGUAGUUAAGCCUAGAAGGAACAGAGGCAAGAACUUUGAGAAGCUUCGAAGACUUGAGUUCCCAGGUUUCAAAAUUUACUGCAAGGUUUUGAGAUUAAGAAAUGUACACUAAGAGAGGAAUAACAAAACGAUUCCAAAGUCACAGGACUUGUGUUUGGAUGGGAUUUAGAUUCAGGUCUUUAUCUCUAACCUUUCUCCCUCCAUCACCUUUACUUUGAGCUAAAUAUUUUUUAUGCUUGUAUGACACUACUUCUGACUUUAUUGAAACAGCCCUUAUAAGAUUCCAGGAGUGUGGAUUAUAGUUCAGCAUCAUGCUAUGUAUUGCUUGUACCAUUCGUUGUCAAUUAAUUAAUAUAUCACCUUGUUACUCCUGAAAUUUUUAUUUAAUUCAGGUAUUGCUGUUUAAAUUUAAAUGUUGCUUAUCAGCCUAAAAUAAUUAUAGUCACCUCAAGGCUUAUCUUCCCUGAAACCUAGGGCCUUGCACAAAUUAUCUCAUUAAAGGCAUUUGUUGAAUGAAAUAGAUUCAUGAAUAAGAGCAGCAACACUAUCAAAAUAGAGCAUUAGCUUCACCUCGUCCCAGUUUGGAAGCAAUAUGGCCCUCAUCCAUGUUGUUUUGGGUUGGGUUUCCUAGAAGUGGAGCCUGAGAAGGCAGUAUGUGAGCAAGGGAUUUUUUGAGAGGGCUCUCAGGAGAAAUCCAUGAUGAAAUGGAGUAGGAAAUGAAAGGGAAGGAAUUUGAUUCUAAGGAAAGGUCUUGGGCGUAAAUAUUCCACCUUGACGUGGAGGUGACUCCACAGCAGUCAGUGAUUGGGUACAGGCUACCAUGGUGGUGGGGUGGGAUUCAGUGUAGUUCCCAGCCUCUUGAGUAGGAAAGAGGGGCCAGCCUCCCAAUAACAACCUGCUGGAGAAGGUGGCAGGUGUGGACAUGCCAAACAAAGAAACAGAUCCUAGAGGGCAGGACAUCAUCCUCCUCCUCAUGUAAAACCUGGCAAGAAAGACACAUACAGAGUUAAUUUACCCAUGUGCAAAAGAUUCCUGUCCGUCAUAAUGAUGCCACUUGCAAGCAUAGUAAAUAGUUUCCUAUUCUGGUGCUGAAUCCAGUUGAUCGUCAAAGAUGUCCCAGAGUCUGUGUUAAAAUUUCUGUAGAGGCCACAUUUAUUUAAAAACACAACAUGCCCAAUACCAAACACUGAUCUUGGCUCUCUGUUCCUAAAUUGAUAUUGCCAUAGUCUUCCUCAUUUCAGCAAAAUGAAGAAUAUUCUAUUCAAUUCACUGACUAUUCAGUAGUGUGAGAGGGAAAUUUAUGUCUAGAGGGCAGCCAUGUAGAUUUCAUUAAAUGUUGUGAUUUAAUUUCUUUAGGAAGUAAUUUAUAGAGAUUCAAAGCAGGAUUUUUGGAGUUAGAGAGAUUUUGUUUCUGUUACUUAAAAACAGUGUGACCUUGGAGAAGUCACCCUCUGAAGUUGAAUUUCCUCACUAUAAAUAACAGGUAAUUUUCAGAGUCAUCUUAAUAAAGAGAUAUUUCAUGUGAAGCAUUUAGUAUAGUGCUUAGCAUAUAGUAAUGCUCAAUAAAUGUUAACACAUUUUAGCCAUACAUAUUCAUGAAGAUAUUUUCUGUCACCAAUGAGAGAGAACUGAGAAAAUAAGAAGAAAGAUCAAAGGUAUAAGAGGAGAUUGGCUGAAGAAUUUUGAAUGUAGAGCAGUUCUGCAAGCUGUUUUGUUAUACCUAGAAAUAGCUGAAAAUUCCUUGGAGCUUACCUGUACUUUAAUUUUUGGGUUGUGAUCAAAUACAUCUAUAGCUAGAUGUAGAUUAAUUUUCUAUACUUGAAAGAUCAUAUAUAAUUCUGUUUCUCUGUCAGCAUCAAGACAGCCUCUUCAUCAUUUUUAUUGACUUCUAGGUGAUGUCUAACUUGUAAAAAUUAUUUCUCAGUCUAGCUAUGCCAACUCAACCCUCAAAAGGAAAAAAAAUGGAUAUUGUAAUUAAAUGAAGAUAUAUAAAGUCUCAUGAUUGAAUAUUUUAAAAGAUUGUUCACAUCUUUAUAAAAAUUAAUAUUUUACCAUUUAAUCUGGUAACAAUAUUUGAAAACUAAAUAUUUCUGUUGAAGUGCCUUGGUCAUUUGAACUAAAAUUAAUUUAUUUCAUAUAAUAAUCUUGGUACAUUUUCAAUAAAAUUUAAAGUGAUGACAGUCAUUCAGAUCAUCCUGGGUACAUUGGUACACCAAGUAUUGUGCUAGACUCUAGAAAUACAAAAAUGAAUAAAACAUGAUACUUUUUCCCACCACAGAGCUGACAAGGUGGUGAAGGCAACAGAUUGUCCCAGUAAAGUAUGGCAGGAGGUGAGAUAGGCAUGAAAUCAGGAUGAUAUUAAAUUGGAGUCUAUUUAGGGGCUUGGGGCAGGAGUUGAUGAUGUCUGAGCUAGAAUUUGAAGUGUGAGUUAAAGUUAGCCAGAAGAAGAAAGGCAAAAGGGGUAUCAUAGAGAAGGUCAGGACCUCGUGAAGCAUCGAGGCAUCGAGCACUAAGGAGAAUGUGAGAUAUUGAGCCAAGUUUAGUAUUACUUAUGCACCACUCCGGGCAGGUAAGUGUGAUAGGUUAAUGAUGGCCACAAAGUCUUUGUCUCUCCUCCUAUUUAGACAUGGAUUCUGUGUCUCCUUCUAUUUCAAUUUGACUGUAAGGCAACACAGCUAACAGGUUGCAACAGCAAGGAUUCUGUGUCUGUGAAUAGUUGGAUAGAAUAUGGUGGAAGUACCCCAGUAACAGUUUCUGGACCAGGCCUUAAAAGAUUGGCAGCUUCUCUUCCCGAAUCUUGGAACAUACAUGGUAGAAGAAGCUAGCUGCCGUAUAAAAUGCCUUAUUUAAAAAUUAUGUGGAGAGGCCCUGCGACUACAUGAAGAGGCUGUGGAGUCCAGCUGAAUCUGGCAUCUAGCUAUUUCCAGUAAGGUCACAGAAAUGUGACUAAAACCAUCCUGGACCCUCCAGACCAGACCAGCCAUUGGGUGAAUACAACCAAGUGGCCCCAGGCAAUACAAAGUCACUCUGCUGACUCCCAGCAGAAUCCCUGACCCUACAUGAUCAUGAGCUAUAAUACAGUGGAUGCUACUCCAAGCCAUUAAGUGUUGGGGUGGUUUGUUGCACAACAAUUAAAAACAAGAACAGUGGAAUAUGAGGAAGAAUUAUGCAAGGGCAAUAUGAUGGAGGGCUUGGGGUACAAGGUUAAGCAUUUUGGAUACUAAAUGUUUCCAAGUCUAUGGUAGUAAAAUCACCCCUCCUCCGAAUACAGGAUUCCUCAAUUUAUCUUUCGCCAAACAAGCCCAUUUCAAAAACCACUGCUGGAGGGAGAGCAUCAGCAUAAAUAGCUAAUGCUUGUGUGGCUUAAUACCUAGGUGAUGGGUUGAAAGGUGCAGCAAACCACCAUGGCACAUGUUUACUUAUGUAACAAACCUGCACAUCCUGCACAUGUUAUCUCAGAACUUAAAAUAAAAUUGAAUUAAAUUUUUAAAAAGAAUUAUACAAUAAAAAACAAAAAAUGCCAUAUUCUAUUUACAUAAUUUCAGAAAAUAAAAGGAAAUAUAACUCUAAGAAAUUUGGAAGGACAGAAUUGCAAAGGGAUGAUCGGUGCCAGGCACUGCUUUAAGUGUUUCAUAUACAUUAAUUGACUCAGUCUUUAUAACAAUCCACUAAAGUAACUGGCGAUAUCUGCCCCAUUUUAUAAAUGAGGAAACUGAAUCAUAGUGAAGUUACAAAACUCAGUUACAGUAACACAGCUAACAGGUGUCAAGAGCAAGGAUUCAAACCCACUCAGUCUGGAUCCAGACUUCGUCGGUUUAAUAAUUAUGCUGCAAUCUUUUUCAUAGUUCUUAAACAAGAUGUAUGUGUGUGUGUGUGCAUGCACAUGCACAUGUGUAUAAAUAUAGGGUGUGAUGAGUAGUAUCUGUCUUCUUCAAUAGCCUGAGCUCACCUGAAGGAGAGGCAGAGGUCCUUUCCCUUUGCUCAUCAUUAUUUCCAUAGUGCUUAUCCUAGCAACAAUCACAUAGGUGGUCAGCAGAUACUUGCAGAAUGACUGGAAGUGUGCACUAGUGACAAAAUGAUUCCUUAAAUUGAAUAAACUGAGCUGUAUGAAGCACUGCAUUGUCCCUAUUAGGAGCAUAUUAUCAUGGAUAUGAGCAAAUUUGAGAAUUGCCUCUCAAACUAGAUUUAAAAAAACAAAGAAAAGAAAAGUACAAGUUCAGGAAGAAUUCAAGUGAGUAUACACAGCUACCAAUGUGGGCCAUGCAUCAGAUCAGAAAUCAAGGAAGGGAGAGUUUGAGGAGUGACUGGACAACCAGAGAAGCCACUAGGGCCAGAUAAAUAAGGAUUGAGACAUUUGGAUAAAAAAACUGUGGGAAGAAAAGAGACAUGACACCAUGCUGCUAUUUUGAAAGUCUAGUGAAAAACAAGUGUUGAGAUUAAAAAAAAAAAUGACACUUCAGUGUAUAGGAAGGAGUCAAACAGAGAAAUUAUUUAAGCUGAAACCCAAAAGAUGAUUCUGAGACAGUGUAAUGAAGAGUGAAAAGUGUCCCAGUAAAGGUAUCGCAUCGCCAAGUUUCCAAUGUGAGAAAAAUACUGGCUAAUCAUUCAAGGCAGCAAGAUAGUGGCUGUAGAGCUGAGAGUGAGUAUUGGGAAUUGGGGUUGGAGAGGUAGGAAGAGGUCAGAGUGCUGCCCAAUGUGUAGUAGACGUUAGGAUGUUGCUACUUGUCCUAAAGGCAAUGUGAAAUGAUGGAUAUGUGUCAAAUAGUGGAGUGUCGAUCUGGUUUACUCAUUUGCUCUGUGGCAGCACAUAUGAAAGCAGGUAUGAUUUUAUUGAGUGUGUAUUAUUGUUAGGGACUUUUCUUGACAAUGGAGAUGGAAAAAUCAAAAGAGAAUAUAUUUACAUGUAUAGAUCUCACAAUCUGACCAGGGUGUCAGGGGAGCAGAAUAUGUUAAGAAAAAAAGCUAGUAAGACAUUUUAGUUUUUUCUCAGUGUCUGAUGGGGAAUAUGGGAAUACAGAAUAGGGAGAGUAGAGAAAGGCUGGAAAGAAGACGUGGUGAUAGAUGAUAGAAAAAGCAGAUGGGGAUACUAGAGGGAGUGGGAAAAACCUUAGAGCUGGAGAAAGAUUGAAGUGGAAUGUCCAGGAUGAGAAUUGUGUGCAAUCUUAAUCUGGUCUGUGCUCCUUAUAUUAUGUGAAGAUGAGGCACAUCUGAAACCAAGUUCACCUUAUCUGUGGUUCCCUGCUCCAUGGGAGUAAAAUACAUAAAGGAGGAACUCUUUGAUUCAGAAGGGCAGCUAUUUUCUUUUAUGGCCUCAUUGCUCUUGUAACUUCUUGAACUUUUCCUCUGUACACAGGAGAUGGAGAUUUGUUAUUUUAUUAUUAAGUGCUCUAACUCUGUCUUCUUGGCAUUCAGCCAUAAAGCUCAAAUCUUUACACUUGAAGAAUAGAAUUUAGGCCAGAAGAAAUAGAUCUUGCCCUAGCUUUUCCAUUAGAUAUAUAACUAAGUGACCUCGAAUAAACUCCUUAACCUCUCUAUGUCUUACUUUCUUACUUUGUAAGAUGAAGUAGGUAGAAUAGAUGAGCUUAAACAUUUUGUCCAUCACUGACAAUGUCUCCACAUUUCUCCUGUUCAAUCUGGGCUGAAAGAGGUUAAAUCUUAUUGUGCAUCACUAGUCAUUAAUACCGAACAUUAUCAUAAUAGUUUUCUUUCAUUGAGCAUGGACUGCACAGCAGGCUUUAUAUUCAUUUCUUCAUUUAAUUUCUGUUCUCUUAUUUCUUUAUGUAAUCCUCACAAUAUUAGUUAUUUUAUAGUAAAGGAAACUGAGGCUAAAUGAGGUUAAGUCCUUUCUCAAGGUCACACAGUUAGAAAAUGACAGAACCAGGAUUUUAACAUCAUUCUCUUUGACUCUAUAGCUAUUAAUAUUUCCAAGUGCCAUGCUGACAUCAUUGGCAUGAACUAUUUUUUUUGCAUUGAAAUAUAACUUAAGUUAAAAUAGUUAGAUUUUUAGCAGAGCAGCCAGUGUGAUAUGAAUCUGGUAUUACUCUGAUUCAGAAGAAAGUCUUACUCAGCUUCACACAUAGUGUGAAUAAUGGCACCAAAAAUGUUUACCAUAAAUCUUUCCCAGACCUCAGGCCUGGAUUAGUAUGCUAAUGUUUAAGCUGCUGCAAUAUUUCACAGAGAGGGAUAAACGGGUAAACAUAAAAACGUGUAUUUAAAUGUGGGUGGAUGUGCCUAUAGAGGCACCAAAGGCACUGCUAAAAUUAUCUGCACUUCUUUAUCCAUUGAGAAUGGAAGGCCUUUAAGGUCAUCAAUGAGAUGGGAUCAUCUUGUUGCCAAUCCUAAGGCAGUCUGGCUCUGAGGCUGAAUGAAAUGGAAUUAAGAGAGGGCUGUAAAAAGCCAAGUGGAGCUGUCAUCACUAUAAAAAUGGCAUUGGCAUUGCAAUGACUCAGGCAUUUGAUGACUCACCACCUCUAUGAACUUGCACUGGGUGAACCCCAAAGCCAAAGCCAGCCAAGAAGAAAUAUCAGGAAAGUAACAAUCAAAUACUCUGAAGUUUAUCUCUCAGUUGAAAGUGAAGAAAAUAACAACUCACUCUGGAAAAAGAUGUAUAAGCAAUUGAAUCAAAAAUGGCUAUGGAUGACCUGAGAGUCUUGGCUUCUCAGUGGAGAUGGCCAAAGGUGAGCUUGACAGAGAGAGGUGAAUUGGACCACAUUUGACUUGUUUUUAGCCCCAAAUUUUAAAAAAUCCAAUUUUAGGCAGCAAUGGGCUAUUCCCUUGCAAAUAGUUUUAGCAUUGAUAAAGAACUUUAUAAACAAUAUUAACAAACAUUAUUUAAUGCAUAAUGGCAUAAUAUAAUAACCUAUGAAAAGGUUAAUAAGAAAGAGUUCCAGAAGUAGAGAAAAAACAACAAAACAAAACAAUAAAACAAAACAAAACGAAAAAAGGUGACCCCACUGGGAAUCAGGAAUCCUCUGAAAUCUCUUUGUAUUAUUUGUUAAAAUUAACAUUAAAAUGUUAUUUUAUUUUCUUAUGUUUGUACAUGGAGUCUUGAUUAGGCCUAUGGCUCCCUUUUUAGAAUAAUAUGCUAACCAUAUAAUAUGACUUAUAUGUAAUCUUAAAGCUUACCAGUUAUAUGCCUUACAGUUAUUAAAGGAGUCUUAUAAAUUUGUGACAUAGCAAUAACAUAAUUAUUUAUCCUCAAUGAACUAACAAGUUUCUAGCAGGUAUUCUAAUAUUAACUGUAAUUUCAAAGGCAUGACUUAAGUAAUAUAGUAUUUGAUGCAUCAGCACUAACUGCAAUAUUACACAAAAAUAUAAAGGAUUUGUACUGACAACCACUCAUAUGUGUUGCUAAGACUACUAUGGUUUGUUGCCUACAUUUAAAAUGAAAAGAGAUGCUAAUUUCACUUACAGCUUAGUAAUAUGCAAUUUUUUUAUUAAAGUUCUCAGACCUCUUAAACCUAUAGUACAUGACCCCCAUGUUAAGAACUUCCAUACUAUUUGCAGAUUACUAAAUAGACAAGUUGCCUUUGGGUAAAUAGUAUUAGAGACUGCUAUAACUUUUGUGUUGCAGCAACUACAGUUGAUAGAUUUAUUUAUCAUAAUAAAGAUUCUGGUUCAAAAAAUGCCUUUUCCCCCCCCGAAUAACCAGCUGCAAUGUCUAGAAUUGGUUAUUUUUCACAGGAGAGAGUUUUAGGUGGAUCCUGAAAUCCAUCUAGUUGAUGAGACAUCCUAAUUUAGAGCAGUUGAUUGCAUGAAAGGAUUAAGAUUUGUUUAACACAUUUUAUUACUAAGCCAAAUACUCUUUGCAAAAAUGUAUGCUAAAGGAGUUGGCAUACCUUGCUUCACGACCACUCUUCCCUCAUGUUUUAUCUCAUGCAAUGACUCUACCUGUAAUGUGAAGUCUUCUAAAACAGAUUUUCUCCUCUUUUUCUUCUCAUCACAUUCAUACUAACGGUAAUUUCCGUGCAUCCUUUAAGAUUUGCUUAGGUCUCCUGCUUCUCCCAUUACUCGUCUCCGGGAUGUUAGAUGCAACUGUCAUAUUGGUUUCCAUAGUAUUUUAUGUAUGUUCCUGUCAUUGUACUGAUUACAAUGAUUUGUAUUAUUGGGUUUUAUGUUCAUUUCCAAUUUUAGACUAUGAGCUGUUUAUGAGCAGGGGGAGGUGUUAAAAUAAAUUUUUAAGCUCCAAUCUCAGUGCAGUAAUUAGCACAAAAAUAUUUUUCACUAUGUUUAUAAAAUAAAUGGGCACAAUUGUGCUGAGUUUGAGGAAUACAAAGAUAUAUAUAAAACACAGUUCAUUCCCUCAAGAGGCUUAGAUUCUUGCUGAAAAUUGAGACUCUGUGUGUGUGUGCAUGUGCGUCUAUGUGUGUAUGUGCACAUGCAGGAGUAAGACCAAGAUCAACAAUUGGUAUAAGGUUCCUGGCACUACAUGCAAAAUAAACAAAAUAAUAAAUUAUAUAUUUAUUUAAAAAUAAUUAAAUUAAGACUGUAAUAUAAUGCAUUCUGAAAUAGUUAAAAACUGAGCUGAAAUGAGAACCGUGAAAAGAGUUAGAGUGGGAAUGGUGGGAAUGUAUCCACUAUAAGGUUCUUC
This 9532-nucleotide long non-coding RNA is filed under the name Homo sapiens (human). RNAcentral's name for it is "HSALNT0146700". Lineage: Eukaryota; Metazoa; Chordata; Mammalia; Primates; Hominidae. The record is from RNAcentral.